GUCCACGCCGUAAACGAUGGAUGCUAGCUGUUAGGAGUAUCGACCCUCCUAGUAGCGUAGCUAACGCGUUAAGCAUCCCGCCUGUGGAGUACGGUCGCAAGACUAAAACAUAAAGGAAUUGACGGGGACCCGCACAAGCGGUGGAGCGUGUUGUUUAAUUCGAUGGUAAGCGAAGAACCUUACCCAGGCUUGACAUCCUGCUAAUCACUCCGAAAGGAGAGAGUGCCUUCGGGCCGCAGUGACAGGUGUUGCAUGGCCGUCGU
RNAcentral lists this ribosomal RNA (263 nucleotides) under uncultured bacterium. Its description in RNAcentral is "partial 16S ribosomal RNA". It matches the Rfam family "Bacterial small subunit ribosomal RNA", at positions 793 to 1055 of the family's 1533-position model. The record is from RNAcentral.